RNAcentral lists this small RNA (143 nucleotides) under Sinorhizobium meliloti 2011. RNAcentral's name for it is "putative ncRNA". Lineage: Bacteria; Pseudomonadati; Pseudomonadota; Alphaproteobacteria; Hyphomicrobiales; Rhizobiaceae. The record is from RNAcentral.
GAGAUAGGGAUUGUCUCCCUCCCAGAUGAUCGCCGUCUUUUCGCCGUGCGUCUUCAGGUGGCGGUCGAUGCAAUUGUAGGAGACGUUGGUCAGUCCGUCUUCGAACCACUUGAUCGAGACAUCGCCCUCGAAGGACGUGUUCU